Molecule: ribosomal RNA, 263 nt
Filed under: uncultured bacterium
Lineage: Bacteria
Description: partial 16S ribosomal RNA
Rfam family: Bacterial small subunit ribosomal RNA
Source: RNAcentral
UACGAAGGGGGCUAGCGUUGCUCGGAAUUACUGGGCGUAAAGCGCACGUAGGCGGCUUUCUAAGUCGGGGGUGGAAUCCUGGAGCUCAACUCCAGAACUGCCUUCGAUACUGGAGAGCUCGAGUCCGGGAGAGGUGAGUGGAACUGCGAGUGUAGAGGUGAAAUCGUAGAUAUUCGCAAGAACACCAGUGGCGAAGGCGGCUCACUGGCCCGGUACUGACGCUGAGGUGCGAAAGCGUGGGGAGCAAACAGGAUUAAGAAACC